GCCCGCGUGGCGAAAUGGCAGACGCGCUGGCUUCAGGAGCCAGUGACCGCAAGGUCGUGGAGGUUCAAAUCCUCCCGCGGGCA
This 83-nucleotide transfer RNA is filed under the name Candidatus Berkelbacteria bacterium. Its description in RNAcentral is "tRNA-Leu". It matches the Rfam family "tRNA". From Rfam's summary of the family: Transfer RNA (tRNA) molecules are approximately 80 nucleotides in length. Lineage: Bacteria; Candidatus Berkelbacteria. The record is from RNAcentral.